Molecule: ribosomal RNA, 255 nt
Filed under: uncultured bacterium
Lineage: Bacteria
Description: partial 16S ribosomal RNA
Rfam family: Bacterial small subunit ribosomal RNA
Source: RNAcentral
UACGUAGGGUCCGAGCGUUGUCCGGAAUUAUUGGGCGUAAAGGGCUCGUAGGCGGUUUGUCACGUCGGGAGUGAAAAACUCAGGGCUCAACCCUGAGCGUGCUUCCGAUACGGGCAGACUAGAGGUAUGCAGGGGGAGAACGGAAUUCCUGGUGUAGCGGUGGAAUGCGCAGAUAUCAGGAGGAACACCGGUGGCGAAGGCGGUUCUCUGGGCAUUACCUGACGCUGAGGAGCGAAAGCAUGGGGAGCGAACAGG